UAGGGAAUCUUCCACAAUGGACGAAAGUCUGAUGGAGCAACGCCGCGUGAGUGAAGAAGGUUUUCGGAUCGUAAAGCUCUGUUGUUGGUGAAGAAGGAUAGAGGCAGUAACUGGUCUUUAUUUGACGGUAAUCAACCAGAAAGUCACGGCUAACUAGUGCCAC
This 163-nucleotide ribosomal RNA is filed under the name uncultured bacterium. Its description in RNAcentral is "partial 16S rRNA". It matches the Rfam family "Bacterial small subunit ribosomal RNA", at positions 355 to 511 of the family's 1533-position model. The record is from RNAcentral.